AACAGUAAAUAAAUACUAAUAGGUAAAUAGGAGGUGGUCUGCCAGAAACAUCAGAUACUGCAUCUGUAUUCUCAUGACAGGCUCGUUCUAAAGAAAGUAAGCUUUUAAAUGUGGGAAAUCUGUCACUUGGUCUGUAAAUAUAUCUUAAUACGAGUGACUAAUUCGCUCAUAGUGACCUAUCAAACUGGACCAUAUGUUGCUUUCUCCGGGGGAAAAAUAGAGCUUACAGCAAAUCCUGCCUUAUCCGUAGCAUUACAGGCUCUAAGAAAGGAUUUAGUCCUUACGUUUUGAUUAGAUAGAAUUUUCCUCAAGGACUAAAGCAGAAUACAGAGAACCCAGCAGACGGAGAGGGGCAGAAUAAAUAACCUCAUGGGGUGGACCUCUGGAUUUAAUAAUUCAACAAUUAUUACCGGGCAAUGAUACCAUAAGACAGUUCUAUUGUUAGAAGCAAUGGAUUAUCAAUCAGAAAAUAAUCCUGUUUUUUGCUUAUGUUCCAACUGAGCGGUCACAUUUUUUUAUUACAGGUUUCAGCCAGGGAUUGUACUCUGAAGGCAGUUUCAGCUCCUAUUAGGAGAACCUGCAAGAUCUUUUUAUUUUAUUUCAACUAGGACAGGGCGCAACCAUUUGGGCAGUUCUUAUUGUUUUAGUUUUUUCAAGUUUCCACCUAAGAAACGGUUUAUGUGCUUGCCUGGAAAAGGGAGCAGAAUUCAGAAGAACCAGCAAUCUUGCAGGAAUCCAAUGGGAAUAUUCCAUCUUCACAAACCACAUUCCAAGGGUUAUUAGAAGAAGGCUUCUUCUGUUGCAUCCAUGACUUUGAAAACUUGGCAUGUUUAUGGGUUAGGUUUCUUCAUCAUCUCAUCAUUGCUGUCCAUACGGGCAAACGGGCUGCAGUGCUAUGGCUGUAACAUUAUUGUUGGAAGGAAGUAUAUUAAUGUUGGAUGCACCAAUCCAGAGGUCAUUACAUGCUCUCAUUCACACAAGGGAUUCAAACACCGGUUCUGCAUUAAAACAGAGAGUGCAGCCCUGGGGAUUAUCCUGACCAGCGGAUGUGCCACGUCCCGGCAUUGCCACCAACAGGAGCUACCAGGCGUAAAGAUCCACUGCUGUGAUUCAGACCUUUGCAACAGCUCCCAUCGGCCCGAAGGCCGUCUCCUAACAUAUAUCUGUUUGCUUAUUAGUCUGACUCUGCUUCGGGUUCAGUUGUAACCUUUACACUAGAUUCUACCCAGCACCAACUUUGGCUUUACACACACCAUCCACAAUUGACUUUAAAUUAAAUGUAGAAGGAUUUUGACGUUUCAGUGACUAAUUAACUAAAAAAAACAUGGUAACGCAAGUGUUAUCUCAAAACUGUUCAAAUUAUAUUUAGGGUUUAGGUUUUUCUUUUCUGUAAACGAGACUGUUGAUUUUAGGUGGUUAGAGACACAUUAGGAUUAUUAAAUCAUUUUUCAGUUGAUGCAAGCUGCCAGAUCUCCUGCCAGGCUACCAAGAUGUAAUAUCUUUGACCUGGCUGGUUACCAAAGACAAAACAAUACCCAGGUUUCUAACAGGAGUCUGUAAAUACACAGAAAUACCAUUUCCUGUAGUGUUUGGUUUCUGCUUCCAUCCGUAGCAUAUCAUUUUGUCUAGUCUACUGUAUCAUAAAUCUUGUUGACAGUCCAGUUUGUUUGCAUUCCCCGAUGGUAGUUUUAGCUGUUUGGAGAUGUGUGUGUUACUUACAUACAUUUUAUGACUUGUAACAAAUAGAUGAAAUCUUUCUUAGGUUGGAAGAAAAAUGCUCACAAAAAUGUAUAGUGUGCAUAUAUAUUUAUAUAUGAUUAAUAUUAGCUCAAACAAAUUAAGCCAAAUUGGACUGCACAAGUAAAAAUGAUAUAUGUAUUAGUAAAA
Long non-coding RNA from Acipenser ruthenus (sterlet), 1887 nucleotides. RefSeq lists it as uncharacterized. The transcript has 3 exons. The record is from RefSeq and is a predicted model, not a curated record. Lineage: Eukaryota; Metazoa; Chordata; Actinopteri; Acipenseriformes; Acipenseridae.